This is a long non-coding RNA of Lynx canadensis (Canada lynx), 871 nucleotides long. RefSeq lists it as uncharacterized. Lineage: Eukaryota; Metazoa; Chordata; Mammalia; Carnivora; Felidae. The record is from RefSeq and is a predicted model, not a curated record. The transcript is spliced from 4 exons.
CGAGUCUACGUAGGCGCUGGGACUGCGCAGGCGCAGGGGUCUGCGCAGGCGCGUGGCAUCGGACUUCCCUAGCGCGGGCUUGGACUCCAGCUGAACCCGGAAAGUUCCCGCGGGCGGACGCGGACAGAUUCAGUGUCACGGAUCCAGCACCAACUUGGCUGCAGCUGAGCAUCUGAAACCGCCAAGUACCUGCUGACAUCCCAGGAAGGAAGUAGCUGCGUGACCUUCUCAUCAUCACAAAACAGAGGCUCUACAGCCAUUGGAUCUUCUUCUAAGUUAUCAGGGGAGGCAGGAGGCGACCCCAUCCUCAGGAGAUUGACAGCCUACCUGCGGAGAUGAGACACAGGACCCGCAGUGACAUUGUGGGGCUGCACGCAAGGUGAAAGUGUGGUCUCGUGUUCAAGAAGUAGGCAGAAUUUCGAGACGAGCCCAGCAGGGCAUCUCCCUGUGCACGUGGCCUUCCACGGGGUCGGUCCCCCCGACGGAGCGCCUGGGAGGGAACGGCUUCUGCCCACGCCUUCGCCUUCGCCGCCCCUGUCUGCGUGGUCCCAGCUCCUCCUCUUGAGAUCAGCGGCGUUUUCUCAGAACCGUGGGGUCCCACUCAUCGACACCCGUGUCGGCCGCGAUGCAGGAAGAGAGAUCAGGCUUGAAUCUCCGCCCUCCCCUGGCCGCUGACUGCUCCAUUCCCACCAGGCCCUUCCUUUGGGGCCCGUUCGAGGCGCCGUGUCUGGCACGCAGCAGGUACCUACUGUCUCCUCUCGUCCGUCAGCAGAGAGAGCACGAAACAGGACUUUACUUACAGGCUUUUUAAGUUUAUGUAUUUAUUUUGAGAGAGAGAGAGAGAGAGAGAGGCGGGGAGGGCAGAGAGAGG